Ornithorhynchus anatinus (platypus) is the source of this 593-nucleotide long non-coding RNA. RefSeq lists it as uncharacterized. NCBI's taxonomy places the organism in Eukaryota, Metazoa, Chordata, Mammalia, Monotremata, Ornithorhynchidae. The record is from RefSeq and is a predicted model, not a curated record. The transcript has 3 exons.
AGCCACACACCUGCAGCUGAGCUGAUGAGGCACACAGGUGUUCACAGAGUCCAUUUGCUCUCCCAGCAAGCCGACUGCCAGACCCGAGGUGGGAUGACAUGGCCAGAGAUACUUCCCAGAGGAAAAAAAAGUUCAAACUCACCUCCCUGAGAGACCACUGUGCUUCUCCAGGCCAGCUACUUUAUGUCUUCCCCAAUGGGGGCAUUGUCAGGGAGAAGACAGUCUUUCUAGCAAGAGUUGGUGCUCUUCCAUCUCCCUCUCCCAGAACGCCUGUCAAAGAGGUCAAUCUCUCAGUCGGACUUAACAUCAAAUUCUCCUGCAGCAACUUUGCCCACGAUCAUCUGCCAACCCUGAGAGCGCUUUGCUAUGGGGAGAAACGAGCCCAGCAAGGCUGAGGAAAAGAUUGGAUAUCCAUAUCCGUUGGAGGCUCCAAGCAAACACACUCAGAGGGUGACGAGAGCUCAGCAGACCCCAGGAUUGGCAAGUCCUCAAGCCCUCUGCUCUCCUUUACGGAGAAAGAACAUCUGCGGAGAAUUGUGGGGAGUCAGAGAGAUGAGGGGCAGGGAAUGUAUCCACCAACUCUGUUUUCUCUA